GUUCUCGUGGCAAGUGUUACACUGGCUAACGACGCAGAAGGAGAAAAGGCUUUGGGUGAUGUGCUUCACUCCACAGUUGUUGGCAGGCACCAGAGAAUUCUCGGAUGUGGACACAUGCACUACCACCAUGGCCACCUGUGCAAGAAAGACGGCUGCCCAAAUAAGCACCUCGGAAAAUGCGUAAAAGGAGAAUGUGUGUGUCUGGAUGCGAUUACCACUACGACAGGAAAACCAACGACGAAGAAAAUGGAGAGUCGUGGACUGCGUGGAGAAUAAAAUACUACCACGCUUCCUUAAAAAAGAGAAACCUACGAGCAAACGAAAUGCCUGCAGGUGUCCAAAGCCGUGAGCUGAGCACUGACAUGGCAGUGGUCGCGAGGUUGAAAACUCAAUUAAGUCAUACGGG
Rhipicephalus sanguineus (brown dog tick) is the source of this 406-nucleotide long non-coding RNA. RefSeq lists it as uncharacterized. The record is from RefSeq and is a predicted model, not a curated record. NCBI's taxonomy places the organism in Eukaryota, Metazoa, Arthropoda, Arachnida, Ixodida, Ixodidae. The transcript is spliced from 4 exons.